CUUGUAGGCGGUUUGUCGCGUCUGCUGUGAAAAUCUGGGGCUUAACUCCGGACGUGCAGUGGGUACGGGCAGGCUAGAGUGUGGUAGGGGAGACUGGAAUUCCUGGUGUAGCGGUGAAAUGCGCAGAUAUCAGGAGGAACACCGAUGGCGAAGGCAGGUCUCUGGGCCAUUACUGACGCUGAGGAGCGAAAGCGUGGGGAGCGAACA
RNAcentral lists this ribosomal RNA (207 nucleotides) under uncultured bacterium. Its description in RNAcentral is "partial 16S ribosomal RNA". It matches the Rfam family "Bacterial small subunit ribosomal RNA", at positions 568 to 774 of the family's 1533-position model. The record is from RNAcentral.